Molecule: ribosomal RNA, 491 nt
Filed under: uncultured bacterium
Lineage: Bacteria
Description: bacterial SSU rRNA
Rfam family: Bacterial small subunit ribosomal RNA
Source: RNAcentral
GAUGAACGCUAGCUACAGGCUUAACACAUGCAAGUCGCGGGGCAGCAUUCACUUAGCUUGCUAGGUGAGAUGGCGACCGGCGCACGGGUGAGUAACGCGUAUCCAACCUGCCCUUGUCCACGGGAUAACCCGGUGAAAAACCGGCCUAAUACCGUAUGAGGUCACAAGCGGACAUCCAACUGUGACGAAAGGUUUGGCGGACAAGGAUGGGGAUGCGUCCGAUUAGCUUGACGGCGGGGUAGCGGCCCACCGGGGCGACGAUCGGUAGGGGUUCUGAGAGGAAGGUCCCCCACAUUGGAACUGAGACACGGUCCAAACUCCUACGGGAGGCAGCAGUGAGGAAUAUUGGUCAAUGGGUGAGAGCCUGAACCAGCCAAGUAGCGUGCAGGACGACGGCCCUAUGGGUUGUAAACUGCUUUUAUACGGGAAUAAAGUGAUGCCUGCGGGCGUUAUUGCAUGUACCGUACGAAUAAGGACCGGCUAAUUCCGUG